Molecule: long non-coding RNA, 3300 nt
Organism: Herpailurus yagouaroundi (jaguarundi)
Lineage: Eukaryota; Metazoa; Chordata; Mammalia; Carnivora; Felidae
Exons: 3
Source: RefSeq, a predicted model, not a curated record
UCCUUUGAGAUCCCAUCUGUCAAGUGGAGCCCCUCUCGUGAUUGCUGUCAUGGCCAUGAGUUUCACCACAAAGCUUGGGCCAUAACUGGAGCUCACUGAUGGCAGCCUGCGAGCUGGCUACGUUUCUCUUAAAAUAUAAUCGCCUGCCUGUUGCUCAGGGUGUCAUCGGCCUAUGAGUUAAGGUGCCUCCAACAUGAAAUUCCUGAGAAUUCAUGGAGUCAUGUUAUGAAGUUCAACAAAACAAUGGUACCAACUGAGUAAAAAACGGGCACGUUAUACCUUAAGGGAAAAUACACAUGAAAACAAGCCCCCAUUUCUACUGACCCAAAAGGAUAAUGAGGAUUCAUUACCAUCAUUACCUCAUCAUUAAAAGGGCUGUUCUCCAAUGCUGUUCAGCUUCAUUAGAGGGAUCUUAGCCACUGUGAUGCGCAGUAAAGUCACGUUUCUUUUUGAACUUUUGUGACUCAAAUUGUAACAAUCUUAAAAAAAACUUCCCCUAAAUUAUCCAGCCCGGAGCAGGUUUAGGUGGACUUGAGAGUCCUUACUGGAGUUUACUUUGAAACAAAAGACGUGAGACUCCAUGCUGAGGGCCACCUACACUCAGUCAUGCUCAGACCCACCCACACCGGUCAGUUCUUCAGAAAAACUCCUCUUUUACAGGAGUGUCGGGCCCGGGGGGCAGUGAGAAAUUGUCUGUCCUGGCUCUCAAGCUGUGCACAGCCUGUCCUGGGUCAGGAGCCAGCCCUGCGUUUUGUCCUGGGGCUGCCUUCGUUUGCGCUGCACUUUCCAUACUAACGGCAACGACAGGUCCAGAGUGCGGUGCCCAGGAGGGCUCUGGGGACAGAAGAGGUGCUGCGCUCUCUGGGACGGAGUCGGUGUGUUUUCGGUGGGGACAGGACAACGGGCAAGAUAAACACAGCUCUGUCGGCCCGGGGGUCACGAGGAAGCCUUGACCCUGCCUGGAUCGCAGAAUCUUGGUCAGUCUGAGCCAUAUUGACUCCACUCCCCGCUUUGCCUGUGAUGGGACCAAGGUCAGCAUGAGAUACAGUCCUGGGCCCCGAGACAGGGGGCUCAGAGUCAGCGAGGAGAGCUCCCAGAUAAACGACCUUAACCACCUGACUCAUCAUGUUCCCAAGGCUAAUGUCUGAGGGUUUUGUGCUUUAAGUCACUCAUUACGCAGUCGGUCAGGAAAGGCCAAUGGAGAUGCCCAAGGUCUCUGACAUUUGCUAGCUGCUGAAAAGCCCGGAGUGGCCCUGCACCCCCCGCCCCCGGCCUUCCUCGCAUGAGGAAUUAAAAAUCUCUAUUAUUAUGGUACUUUUUGUCGGGACUCCGAUAACUAGUAAAACAAAAGGUAUCUGCUGUAGACACGCACUUUUCUAGUUAGAUUCUGACUCCUGCAAAAGGUUUUGGGCUCAAGGCCGGGUCUCUCUCCAGGUUCAAGUGGGUAUUAGCAAAUGUAAAGGUUUCUGUCCUCAAAAUGACAUUUCCCCCCCCUUGUUGUACUGGAAGGGAUUGAAAGAGAAUUGAAAAGGAAAUCCGAUUUCUCACCGUGUGAUUCUAAGUUCUAGAGUCUGUUGUGGGGAUCACGUGAAGUCACACAGCACCCCACCCGUGGGGAGUCCCCACGCUCCGGGGAACGCUGUUGUAAUCGGAGCGAACAGAAUUGAUACUUUUCAUGAUGACAAGCGCGUAUGAAAUGUUUAGGUCAAAACGGAAAGUUUCGGAGGGUAUGAAGUAUCGCCCUACUCCCCGUGACUUUAGUAAAUUGUGGUUUCGUACUUAGAUGUGUCCACACACACACACACACACACACACAGACACCCACAAGCUCGUGGACUCCUCUGGUAUGUUAGCGCUGAAGUUCAAGUCAAGAAAUCGAUAUAUUCUUAAUCAUCAGCUUGUUUUCGGAAACAGGGUUUCCCCAUGGAGUAGCAAAUGUUCGUCAAUGAAAUUCAUCGCGACAGGAGCCUUUGUUGUGGCUGUUUGUGAGGUAACAGGGUGGUGUGGGCGCAAACACAGUCCUGGCAAAGACCUCGGAUUCCCGCUGAUGUUGCCUGGGAAGUUAAGCUGGACGCCCCUUGAUUUUGGUUUUCUUGACUAAAUCCCACGGUGCUCCAAGAGCCUUCCGCUCCUGUGCUCCCUCUCACACUCUGCCCGACAAUGGCAGACCUUUCCUGAUGUUCAGCAUUUUGUGCCACAUAGAUGACUUUUGCCUUAUUUACUGUGAUGGAACAUUUGCCGUAAUGCAACGUAUAAUCAUAGCAGUGCUACUUAAAAUUAUCGUCAGACACGUUUAUUGAACCUAAGCACAUACAUUUCAUACGGAAAGGACGUCUUCAUUGCAAAUGGGAAACCACGAUCACUUGCUGUAAGAGGAAGGCAGCUAUGCAUCAUACACAGCAAACCGUUGUAUUUAGAUGCUAAUGUCCACCUAAGACUUGAAGUCUGAGUCCUGCUUCCUCUCCGUGGGUUAGGGAGGGUAAUAAAUGUCAGGCUGAUGUUAGAGACUCAGGAGUAGCAGACGGAGACUCUGAUGUGAUUAGGACGACCCGGCGGGUACCGGAAGAACGACCCAGCGGGUACACGGCCAUGUUGUUAACCGUGGCAUUAAAUGUCAGUUACCGAAGCUUCAGUUUUGGCAUCCUCAGGCCGUCUGGCGCAUCAGGUGAGACCUCAAGAGUGUGCACUCCCCACGUUGUUUCUGAUACCGCUGGAUGCCCGCAGGGGUUCUCUCUUCUCCCAGCAGACACCGUGCCCUGUGGAACUGGAUGCCUAAGAUUGAGAUAUGAGGACUUGAUGCCUGGAGCUGCGGCAGCCAUCCUGAUCCUAUGAGAGGCUGCUGCUGGGGAGAUCUGGGACUAGUCACGAGUGUAUGCAGACAGGUGAAAGAAAGUGGGUUUUCCCGGGGAGCAUAACACAUGUCCUCACGGUCCCGCACUGUUCACACUAAAGAGCUUUAUACCUCUUGUUCCUGUUGGCUCCCCUUCAGCCCUGAGGCGCGGGUCCUAUUCCUGUCACCUGUCCCACUGUGGAGGGCAAGAAGGACAUGACUUUCCGAGCCACUGUGGCGAUGGGAGCCCUGUCUACAUGAGGCCGGGCACACAGUCGCAUGCACUCUCUACAGUAUGACCCGGGGGACCGCCAGCCAUCGGCCACGGUGCUGGGAGAACCGGACACCAGGGCCAGACCAGCUGGGGCAACACCCAGAUGACCCUGGACAAGCUUCUUCACUCUCUGCCUGUGGGUUUAUUCACCUGUACGUGAAAAAUCACUGAGAUAAGCUGUGAGGACGCAUCCUGG